GUCGUGGGGCUUUCUUCUUGUGUGUAUCCGCUAUUGCAGCGAGUUUUGUAGAGGGACCUGUCUGACAUUACCAUGACAUAGUUGGUAUUCUUGUUCAGAUUUAUCUGUGGAAAGUGUUACACGUAAUGACCAGCACGUUUGAGCGGUUUUUGCGGCUGUACUGGCGGUAUCUUGGAUUCAUCAGCGCUGGUCGAACUACACCGAUUUCCUCAGCUAUAAUUCUUCCAUAAGGAGAUCUGUUUACCUUUCUAUGGUUGUUUCUGAAACCCAAGACUUCAUGUAGGUGGCGUACAGGAACAUGUGCAAACACGUUCUACAUCCCAAAAUAUGUUGCUGGAAGCGUUCAAUAAAUGCUGUUAAGUUUCACCAUCAU
This is a long non-coding RNA of Rhipicephalus sanguineus (brown dog tick), 373 nucleotides long. RefSeq lists it as uncharacterized. The record is from RefSeq and is a predicted model, not a curated record. NCBI's taxonomy places the organism in Eukaryota, Metazoa, Arthropoda, Arachnida, Ixodida, Ixodidae. The transcript is spliced from 3 exons.